RNAcentral lists this ribosomal RNA (253 nucleotides) under uncultured bacterium. RNAcentral's name for it is "partial 16S ribosomal RNA". It matches the Rfam family "Bacterial small subunit ribosomal RNA", at positions 524 to 776 of the family's 1533-position model. The record is from RNAcentral.
UACAGAGGUCUCAAGCGUUGUUCGGAAUUACUGGGCGUAAAGGGUUUGUAGGUGGCCACUUAAGUCAGACGUGAAAUCCCUCAGCUUAACUGGGGAACUGCGUCUGAUACUGAGUGGCUUGAGUGCAGGAGAGGAACGCGGAAUUCCAGGUGUAGCGGUGAAAUGCGUAGAUAUCUGGAGGAACACCGGUGGCGAAGGCGGCGUUCUGGACUGUAACUGACACUGAAAAACGAAAGCCAGGGGAGCAAACGGG